ACUGCCAAAGAGUAUCUCUGAUAGAGUAAGUGGCGUAGUGAGGUUUGCAUGGUGGAACAAAAGGGAGUAGAUAGAACAGAAGAAUCGGUCAAGUUUGAAAAGGGUUUACUGUUGACUAGGGGUUUAUUGAGCGAAACCUCGGUCAAAAUGAUCUCUCGAUGAACAAAGUGGAUGGGUUAGUGGGGCUACCUAGAAAUCAAGCUGGUUGAAGAAGACAUCGG
This 221-nucleotide long non-coding RNA is filed under the name Gossypium raimondii (Peruvian cotton). RNAcentral describes it as "long non-coding RNA (GRAI_LNC008138)". The record is from RNAcentral. Lineage: Eukaryota; Viridiplantae; Streptophyta; Magnoliopsida; Malvales; Malvaceae.